UACAGAGGGGGCGAGCGUUAUUCGGAAUUAUUGGGCGUAAAGGGCGCGUAGGCGGCUUGGCAAGUGGAAGGUGAAAUCCCUCGGCUUAACCGAGGAACUGCCUUCCAAACUGCUUUGCUUGAGUCCGGGAGAGGUGAGUGGAAUUCCCAGUGUAGCGGUGAAAUGCGUAGAUAUUGGGAAGAACACCGGUGGCGAAGGCGGCUCACUGGCCCGUUUCUGACGCUCAGGCGCGACAGCGUGGGGAUCAAACAGG
This 253-nucleotide ribosomal RNA is filed under the name uncultured prokaryote. Its description in RNAcentral is "partial 16S ribosomal RNA". It matches the Rfam family "Bacterial small subunit ribosomal RNA", at positions 524 to 776 of the family's 1533-position model. The record is from RNAcentral.